GAGCCACAAUGGAUAAACUAACGGGCUACGGUAGGACCGCGCUUUGAUUUAUAAUCCGUAGAGAGAUACCAUCUCGUUUGCCAUCCACGAGAGACAAGUGAAAUAACGGUUAAGGGAUCUCACAACCUCGGAAAUAGACCACCAAUUCGACAUGGAUCCGUUGAGCAUCGACAGCGCCUUUUAGAAACCGGCUGCCUCCGCCUGCUUCAAAGGCGGAUUUGGGAUGAGAAGCGUUUAUCGUUUUCUGUACUGUCCUCUCUUCAUAGCCCUCCAUUGGAUGGCAAAAGAACCAGGACAAAUUUCCUCGCAUUGAAAAGUGGAACCCAUACGAUACUCUGGCAGUAUGUACGAGAAGGAGUCGGUUGCUAUCUUUGGUUAUCUAGCUGUAUGAGUGUUACUCGGCCGUCAUAAAGCUAGCUAACCGAAAGUAGGAAUGUCCUCCAAACCUGCGACUCGGACAGGAAUAAAUGGUGUCUGGGAGUAAAGACACAUAACAUAAUUGAUAUGCAAUUACAGGCCAAUACCUCAGUGCCUUUCCGGUAAGUUAUAACAAUUUCCCCUAAUCACUUAUUAUAAACAUCUGUUGAAACACUUCUGAAUUCCUCAAAACCUGCUACAACCCGAAAUUAUUUUUAAUACGUUUUCAUAUUUAAUUUAGAGAAGAUAUUCUCAAAAUAUAAGUAGGAUCAUCUUUAUAGCAUGCCUUUAAAUGAAAAGUCAAAAUUUUCUACAAUCAUGCUGUGAAUUGAAGUGUAUAUUUGUCCCAGUUUUGUUUAGUAUGCUUGGAGCUUGAAUGAUCUUUAUAUAUUUAUUUAUUCCAUCACGCAAAGCAUAUGGAGUGUUUUUGCCUAAAACAUCUUCUAAAACGAAAAAUACUUCAUAAAAAGGCUUUUUUUCCAGUCAGAGGAAUACAUAACUUUAUCCAGUCACAUGAGUGAACUGUAACAAUUGGUAUUCAGGCCUGAAUAUGAAUAAAGCUUUGUUGCAUCAAAGUAUCCAUAGUUGAUGCUGUAUUCCUUAUAGUUCUCACUGCAUAAAUCAGGUUUACGUACACGCAAACACAUAUGGAAUUAUGGUUUAAUGAAAUGGAUUAAGAUUUGUAGCUCAUAUUGAUUUCAUUCUUAAAAAUGUGGAAACGUUUUAAUUUUCCAGAAAAUGGCCGAUAUUAGCCUUUAUGACGUAUUUAGGCCUACUGUAGACCAACGCCUAUGAAAAAGACGGUCCUGAUUAAGAUGAGCUAUGUAGGCUUUACCUAGCCCUUGCACUGAAAUUCUGAAAAAGCGUAGGCUAAUGAUAUCUUUCAGUCGAUAUUAAGUCAAGCGAUCCAUGUCAUUACAUAAACACAUCAUUUCAAAAAUAGAAAAAUGUAGUUGUGUUCUCACAUUGAGUCGUGUUACCUAGAAAGGAAGAACACUUAAGAUAUUCAUGGUUUUUGUAGAUUUGAAAUGCGUUAUACCUCCCAUGUGAGUCACACAAUACUUUGACGCAUUGUGUGCACACCUAAUCGGCCCAAAUUAUUCAAGUGUCUCAAUUUGGACUUUCUGCCUGGCCCUUCACGGUGCUAUAGCUGUCCCUCAAAAGGCAACUUCUAUAGCUUCUCUUGGAGAACCAAAUCCGGGGAUGGAUUUUCAUUCAACCAACAACUCCUCUCAGAGCCUACAGUGGCGCUCAAUGGCUGGAGCGCGCUCCUGGCUAAUUGGUUUGAUUCAGUAAAGGAGGCUAUACGGUGGAUUUGUGAAACGUCCAAGCGAGCUUUUCCCACGACCGGACGGAUCUCUCCAUUCUAGUGUGUCACCAGACAAUUUAGAAUUUCCACUGGUCAACACAGUGACGUAGGGCCUACAAGUCGCUACUCUGAUAAUCUCGUCCUUAACCAAAACCGCAUCCUCUUGACGUCUAUUGUGAGCUUUACAUUACCCAAGUGUAGGCCUUUACAUUACCCAAGUGUAGCCCGAUAUCUACAUUCCUCCUCAGGUCUUUUAAUACUGAAAGUAGGCUAGUUGUUGAUGAUGGAAAUGAACAACUACUAUUAACUCACUUGAUUUGAACACUUCAUAUUCUAAUCAAUCUCAAUAUAUGUUUAAAAUAUCCAUCUAUUAUUAUUUAUUGUACCCUUCACCUUUCUUCACUAACUGCAUUCUGAUUGUACCUCUACUAUACUCAAAACAAAAGCCUUGUGUCCACCACCUCCAGCCUGCCUAUCUGAAUCUCCUCAUCAUUAACUGUAAUGCAGGCUCUGGUCCAUACAAGUCCCAACAAAGAAGAAUGGAGACAUUAUCUAAUUCAACCACACCUAUCUCACCACUCAAUUCUUCUCUAGGCCUAAUCCAUAUAAACGUGUCCUUUGAAUGUUGUAGAAGAACCCUUGGCAUGACUAUUCUAUAACCCGACAAUGAUCAAAUUAAUUGUCGCUGAAUGUUAGUGAUGAGAAUUCAAGCGUAUUGUUUUAAUGGAUGUGUUUUUGCUUUUUUUUCACUAUUGCAUUGUAUUGUAUUUGGAAAUGUCUUUGUUAUUGUCAAAGGUUGAUCCAGUGCCCUUGUCACUGCAGUGGCUGCCUGAGAUACACACAGAAACUCUGCAGUGUGAACAGCACACGCUGUCUACUAUAUGUGACUGCCAGCCAUUCACACCAGGUCUGGAUUGAGCGAGGGGAAAGUGGCACAGUCGUCACAAAAAAAGGAAAAAGCAGGAGGGGAAGAAAAAGGCCAACCCCCUUGUCCCUCUUCCCUUAAAUCUCCAUCACCGGAAGCCUUUGGUGCCAUCUGUGCCCCCGGAGAAAAGGACGGGCGAGAUGCCUCCACCCUGUGCCAACGGGGACAAAGGAGCUGCCAGUUAGAGCGGCCCCCCUCGCAGGCAGCCAGAGGACUCUGUGUGACUGACUGGGGCUGAGCUACGGAAGCCAUCUUGAUGGAGAGUCUUGCUGCUGCUCCUAAAAUGGCUGUGUUGGCAUGAGGUCCUGCUGGUGUUGACAACCUCCAGAGGAAGCCUCUUCCACCAGCCCUGAGCCCUUGGCCCUGAGUCCUGGGCCCUGAGUCCUGGGCCCUGAGUCCUGGGCCCUGGGCCCUGGCAGUCGGUCUAGAAGCACCAAUGGGAAUAGCAUAUCAGAUCCCAGGAUGUCAUGCAAGGCCUUCCUCAUUGGCAUCCUCUCCAGUCAAACACUGAGAAAUGAGGGCACUGAAGAAUCCCCCCUAAAGUUAAUGUUUGGAUAGAUUUACUGUAAGGACAAUGUUUGGAGUUAUUUGAAGACAUUGCUUGCAGGAGUUGCACAUGGAUUAUCUGCAGAUAUAUUGCACUUGGGUAAUCAAUGUUCCCCAGCUGAGAGUGAGUGUAUAGUUUCAACAUCAUUUUUAACAUUACAGCAAAAUGUAAAACAAUGUGUGUAUGAUGUUAAAUCAAAAGGGAUGUGAUCAACUUGUGUUCAUUCCUUAAUUUAAGGACGUGUGUGUGUGUGUGUGUGUGUGUGUGUGUGUGUGUGUGUGUGUGUGUGUGUGUGUGUGUGUGUGUGUGUGUGUGUGUGUGUGUGUGUGUGUGUGUGUGUGUGUGGUUUGGUCCCUAUUGUACUCUGUAGAGUACUCUGGAGUGUACUGGGCUUCAGAGAAGCACUACAGUGCCCUAAUGUGUGGGCUGUUUACAAGAGAAGCUCUCUGGAUGUCUAUCCUCUGUCAUGUGCAAUUAGUUACUUUAUGAAUAGAACUGACUACUCUAUGCAAAUAAAUGUGAAUGACUCACCCUCUGGCUGUAUUGCAAAUGUUGUUUAAUGUUUGACUGUCACAGUGAAAAGAAAGACAUUGUUUGGUGAAGAUUCCAUCCAUUUACUGUAUAUCCAUCAAAUGCUGCAUUUUUCCUAUUACAAAUAUUAUCUGCAUGUGUUCAUAGUGAUCAGGGAAUGUUCAACAUGAAAUGUGUUGGAUACAUUAUUGAAGCAGUCAGAUUAAUAGCCGUCUCAUUGCCUGAUUAUUACUAUUAUCCUUAUUCAGAGAGAUAGACAGUACAUACCUGCAGUAAAGAAAGGGACACAUACUUGUACACUAACAUCAUGCAAAGCAUGUUUUUGUAAUUGAGUUCUGACUUGUCAUGACUUCUGUGCUGUUGAAUUG
RNAcentral lists this long non-coding RNA (4097 nucleotides) under Salmo salar (Atlantic salmon). RNAcentral describes it as "lncRNA (ENSSSAG00000089874.1)". The stretch from base 360 to 437 matches the Rfam family "mir-9/mir-79 microRNA precursor family". The record is from RNAcentral. Lineage: Eukaryota; Metazoa; Chordata; Actinopteri; Salmoniformes; Salmonidae.